RNAcentral lists this transfer RNA (71 nucleotides) under Marmota monax (woodchuck). RNAcentral describes it as "tRNA.Ala". The record is from RNAcentral. Lineage: Eukaryota; Metazoa; Chordata; Mammalia; Rodentia; Sciuridae.
GGAUUGUGGCUCAGCAGUAGAGCGCUUGCCUCGCACACGGGGGUGGGACCUGGGUUCGAUCCUCAGCACCA